RNAcentral lists this ribosomal RNA (261 nucleotides) under uncultured bacterium. RNAcentral describes it as "partial 16S ribosomal RNA". It matches the Rfam family "Bacterial small subunit ribosomal RNA", at positions 92 to 354 of the family's 1533-position model. The record is from RNAcentral.
UUAGUGGCGGACGGGUGAGUAACGCGUGGGUAACCUGCCUUACACAGGGGAUAACACUUAGAAAUAGGUGCUAAAACCGCAUAAGCGCACAGCUUCGCAUGAAGCGGUGUGAAAAACUCCGGUGGUGUAAGAUGGACCCGCGUCUGAUUAGCUUGUUGGCGGGGUAACGGCCCACCAAGGCGACGAUCAGUAGCCGGCCUGAGAGGGCGGACGGCCACAUUGGGACUGAGACACGGCCCAGACUCCUACGGAAGGCAGCAG